This 380-nucleotide unclassified non-coding RNA is filed under the name uncultured Gammaproteobacteria bacterium. Its description in RNAcentral is "contains 16S-23S intergenic spacer region". The record is from RNAcentral. Lineage: Bacteria; Pseudomonadati; Pseudomonadota; Gammaproteobacteria.
UCGCGGCUUAUCACCGGCAGUCUCCUUAGAGUGCUCAACUAAAUGGUAGCAACUAAUGACAAGGGUUGCGCUCGUUGCGGGACUUAACCCAACAUCUCACGACACGAGCUGACGACAGCCAUGCAGCACCUGUGUUCCGAUUCCCUUUCGGGCACAACCGGAUCUCUCCGGCCUCUCGGACAUGUCAAGGGUAGGUAAGGUUUUUCGCGUUGCAUCGAAUUAAUCCACAUAAUCCACCGCUUGUGCGGGUCCCCGUCAAUUCCUUUGAGUUUUAACCUUGCGGCCGUACUUCCCAGGCGGAGUACUUAAUGCGUUAGCUUCGAUACCGAAGGGGUCAACACCCCCGACAUCUAGUACUCAUCGUUUACAGCGUGGACUAC